This 779-nucleotide ribosomal RNA is filed under the name uncultured Neocallimastigales. RNAcentral's name for it is "partial large subunit ribosomal RNA". It matches the Rfam family "Eukaryotic large subunit ribosomal RNA", at positions 23 to 616 of the family's 3401-position model. Lineage: Eukaryota; Fungi; Neocallimastigomycota; Neocallimastigomycetes; Neocallimastigales. The record is from RNAcentral.
ACACGCAUGACACACUGCAUAUCAAUAAGCGGAGGAAAAGAAACUAACAAGGAUUCCCUUAGUAACGGCGAGUGAAGCGGGAAGAGCUCAAAUUUGAAAUCUUCAAGGUUCUACCUUGACGAAUUGUAGUUUAUAAGAAGUGUUUUCUGUUAGUAGAGGUGGCUAAAAGUUCUUUGGAAUAGGACAUCAUAGAGGGUGAGAAUCCCGUAUUUGAUCAGUCUUUCUAACGUUGUGAUACACUUUCAACGAGUCGGAUUGUUUGGGAAUGCAGUCCAAAAUGGGUGGUAAAUUUCAUCUAAAGCUAAAUAUUGGCGAGAGACCGAUAGCGAACAAGUACCGUGAGGGAAAGAUGAAAAGAACUUUGAAAAGAGAGUUAAACAGUACGUGAAAUUGUCAAAAGGGAAGCGUUUGACACCAGUGUUGUUUUUCCGAAAAUCAAUUACUAAAUGUUUUGUUUUUGAGGAGUGAUGACUUCAUCGGCUUCCUUCUCUCUUUACGAAACUUUCUGUAAUGCACUUUUCGGUUAACAAGUCAACAUCAAUUUCUUUUGUUGUAAAAGGGUAUGAGGAAGGUGGCUUUCUUUUCGGAGAAAGUGUUUAUAGCCUUGUACCUCUGCAAUCGGAGAGAUUGAGGUCUGCAGCGUAGAUCCUUCGGGGUUAGAUACAUUUGUGCUAAGUUAUAGCUUUUCAUAGACAACUUGUUGACUAUGUUAAGUCUUGUAGCUUACUCGCUUAUGCUAUUUUACCUACGCUUAGGAUGUUGAGCGCAUGUCUCUCUCU